Molecule: small nuclear RNA, 97 nt
Organism: Ochotona princeps (American pika)
Lineage: Eukaryota; Metazoa; Chordata; Mammalia; Lagomorpha; Ochotonidae
Source: Ensembl
UGCUUGCUUCCGCAGCAAUGGAUUAAAAUUGAAACGAUACAGAGAAGGUUAGCAUGGUCCCUGUGUAAUGAUGACACGAAAAUAACCACCGACUCUU